UCCCUGGUGGUCUAGUGGUUAGGAUUUUGGCACUCUCACUGCCACGGCCCGGGUUCGAUUCCCGAUCAGGGAA
This is a non-coding RNA of Protopterus annectens (West African lungfish), 73 nucleotides long. NCBI's taxonomy places the organism in Eukaryota, Metazoa, Chordata, Ceratodontiformes, Protopteridae. The record is from the annotation of a RefSeq genome assembly.